AUGCCCCUCAGGAAGGUCCGACGGCGCCCGCAAGCGUCAUCGCAUCGGUGCCGGACAGGCCGACAGGGGUUUCUCCCGAUCCACAACCACCACCACCACCCCAGGGAUUUCGAGAUGCACCACCCCAUCAGCCCCCUCCCCCUCCCCAGCCUAUGCCACCAUGAUUACCGGACAACCCUCACCGCCUUGCUGGAGCUGCCAACACGAGACUUGAAGAGGGAAAGGAGACAACGGCCACGGGAGCGACCACAUUUCGACCGGAGGGAGGGGACAGCCUCCACCACCGCAUCGGAGCCGAUCAGACGCGGUGACGAGGACUUGUCGGGCCUCGACGGCCCGGUCAGGCCCACUUGGACCUGGACAGUCCUGUCACCACGCUGCAGCUCGCCGACCAACCAAGUCCUCACCGCCCGAAGCCACCACCACCACGCCACCACCAGGGAACAUCGCCGCCGGAUGCGGAGCCAUCGGCCCGCCCCAACUCAGAUGGGGCCCAAAUUUCUAGACGAGUUGUUCGUAGUUAAAAGACUCAUUUCUGUAUAA
RNAcentral lists this ribosomal RNA (543 nucleotides) under Triticum aestivum (bread wheat). RNAcentral describes it as "partial small subunit ribosomal RNA". The record is from RNAcentral. Lineage: Eukaryota; Viridiplantae; Streptophyta; Magnoliopsida; Poales; Poaceae.